RNAcentral lists this small nuclear RNA (160 nucleotides) under Bigelowiella natans. RNAcentral describes it as "partial Dictyostelium signal recognition particle". Lineage: Eukaryota; Cercozoa; Chlorarachniophyceae. The record is from RNAcentral.
GCCGAGGACGUGCGGCUCGGGGAUCUUUGCAACGAAGGCCGCACCAAGCUGCUUCUCAGGGCCGACAUAUCGGGAACAGAGAUCAAACAAUAUGGAAUGGAGGAUUACAAACUCAAAAUUAAGGGUCUCUCCGGAGCAACGAUAGAGAUAGGCGCUUCGC